RNAcentral lists this unclassified non-coding RNA (33 nucleotides) under synthetic construct. Its description in RNAcentral is "RNA hairpin C-U12 from synthetic construct (PDB 8E29, chain B)". The record is from RNAcentral.
UCGGCGCCUUUCGAGGCGCCGUUUUUUUUUUUU